Molecule: long non-coding RNA, 1510 nt
Filed under: Corvus moneduloides (New Caledonian crow)
Lineage: Eukaryota; Metazoa; Chordata; Aves; Passeriformes; Corvidae
Description: lncRNA (ENSCMUG00000018724.1)
Source: RNAcentral
CUCAUGAUAAUCCCAUUUGCUGCUGGCCAGCGGCCGCUGUCACAAUGUCCCCGUGUCACCUUGCAGAGUGCUCAGGGACAAUGAGCUGCGGGCAGUGAAGAGCCAUUCCCUGCAGGGGCUGUUCCUGCUGAAGCACCUGUAAGCACCGUGCCCUGCCCAGGACAGGGGGCUCCUGCCUGCCCCUCCCUGGGGCCCUGCUGCUCAGCCCAGCCCCGGGCAAGUGGCCUUAGUCCCUCCGGGGAUGCAGGCUGCAGAGGCAAGUAAAAGCAACAGGGCAAAUGGAAGUGACAUUUGGUGUUCUGACUGGAACAGGGAUUUGUCUGGCAAUGAGAUCGUGUCCAUUGAGGAAUGUGCUUUUGAGCCACUGCCUUUCCUGAAGCUUCUGUGAGUGAUAAAGUUUCCUCCUGGGGUUUUAGUGAAGUCUUUGCAUUGGGCACCCUUCCUGUGUCGGAAAAUGCUCCCGUUCUUUUCCCAGCAGUCCCUAAAUCUGCCCUGCUCAGGGCCCAGCUGAGCUGCAGAGGUCAGUGCCGAUGGCUGGACGGCCACGCCGGGGGCACAGGCCCCAGCGGGGUCGUCCACACGCAGCCAUCAGAGCAGCCAGUUCUUGCAGGCUCGGCUGCAUGCUGGCACAGAAAUAGAGUCAGCCCUUGGGCCCUUCCCUUCCCCUCCUGGGCAGGCUACAAACACUGAGAAAGCAGCAGCUUCCCCCCUCUUCCACCUUGCAUUUGCACCUUUCCUGCAAAGGGAUCCCGCUUCAGCCCCUCUUCCUGUGGGACAGGCCCGAUUCCGUUGUGUGACCUCCUCUUUCCCCAGAAACCUCUCCGGGAAUGGCCUCACGCAGAUCCGCAGCGGCACUUUCCAGGCCUGGCACGGGAUGCAGUUUCUCCAGGAGCUCCAAGUGCCCAAGGAUGUGGCCUGCUGCCUGUGCCAGGAGCGUCCCCUCGCCGAGAGCCCGUGCAGGACCAUCCAGUUCCUCUGCGAGAAGCUGUGCAGCACCAGCGCCCCGCAGUGCGGUUGGUGUCCGGAGGGGCUUGGGGGGAGCUCACAUCUGCCACUUCUCUUGAGCCUGGGGAGGUGCUGCAGCACUGCCCCGUGCUGGGGCUCCUGGCCUCCCCUUGGAGUCCAGGACUUGCACAAAACACCUUGGGUUGAAAAGUUCCUGGGCAUUACUCAUAUCUUGUGUGUCAAAUACUGUCUGGAGAAGGAACAGCUCACUGGGCCACCCCACUGCCACGUGCAGGAGAGAGGGCAGGGACCCCGAUGUGCUCUGCAGGGUGAACACCGAGCACCGUUAUUCCCUCCUUGGCCUGUGCAGGGGGAGCAAAGCACUGUCCUGCUCUAGCUGGGCACAGGGGAGGGAACCUCCUCUCCACAGCAGGGCCUGGCUGGACUUCUGCAAACAGACACAGCCAGGUUUCCAGGCUCCCCAGGAAGCUCCUUUCUCUCACUGCCUCAGCCCCACGUUUCCCACGGCACAGUCCCAGAGCUCCGGUGCCCUUCAGGAAGUUUU